Molecule: unclassified non-coding RNA, 311 nt
Filed under: Hevea brasiliensis (rubber tree)
Lineage: Eukaryota; Viridiplantae; Streptophyta; Magnoliopsida; Malpighiales; Euphorbiaceae
Source: RNAcentral
GGCCGAUGUGUGGUCAUGUGGAGUAACUCUUUAUGUCAUGUUGGUUGGUGCAUAUCCUUUUGAGGAUCAGGAGGAUCCUAAAAAUUUUAGGAAAACAAUUCAGCGUAUUAUGGCUGUUCAGUACAAAAUUCCAGACUAUGUUCACAUAUCUCAGGAUUGUCGACACCUUCUGUCUCGCAUUUUUGUCCCUAAUCCAUCAAGGAGAAUUUCUCUAAUGGAGAUCAAGAAUCACCCAUGGUUCUUGAAGAACUUGCCAAGAGAACUGACUGAAUCGGCUCAAGCAGCUUAUUACAAGAGAGACAACCCGAGCU